GGCCGGGGGAGGAGCGGGGCGUGAGGGAGCACCGGGAGGGAGAGACGUGAAGAGUCAUGGAAAAACACGGGCAGAUCCGUAGGGUGCAGUCCUGGGGCUGGAAGCAGCGGAGGGGCGGCCGCAGGACCACCUGUGGGACCCCGAGGGCAUCCCGCCCUCAGAGCUUCUGGUGCUGAGGGAAAAUUUUAAUUAAAAACUAAGAAUGAACCCGCCACAAGUAGUGGGGUGGGUCCCCGAAACGUCGGGCUCUGGGACUGUGAGCUGGUUUUGUGGGGAGUGUUUGGGCUGGUCUCCUUUGGCCUCGCUGUGGUUUAUGGAUUUAUAGGGGAAUAGCGAUGGGGAGUAGCUGGUUUGUGGAUUUAGAAUGGAAUAAGAAUGUCAAAUAGUUGGUUUGUGGAUUUAUAAGGGAAUAGGGAUGGGGAAUAGUUAGGUCAAGGAUUUAUAAGGGAAUAGGGAUGGGUGACAGUUAGUUUAUGGGUUUAUAGUGGAAAAGGGAUAAGGGAUGGAUGGUUUAUGGAUUAAUAGGGGAAUAGGGAUGGGGAAUGGUUGGUUCAUGGAUUUAUAGUGAAAUAGGGAUGAGGAAGGGUUGGUUCAUGGAUUUAUAGUGAAAUAGGGAUGAGGAAGGGUUGGUUCAUGGAUUUAUAGUGAAAUAGGGGUGAGGAAGGGUUGGUUCAUGGAUUUAUAAGGGAGUAGGGAUGGGGAAUGGUUGAUUUAUAGGGGAAUGGGGAUAGGGAAUGGUUGGUUUGUGGAUUUGUAUGGGCAUAAGGAUGGGGAACAGUUGGUUAAUGGAUCAGUUGGGAACUACGGGUAGGGAAUGGCUGACAGUGAUGAUCUUUUAGGCUAAAAAGGCUUUUCUGCUGUGCCUUCAUGAAGAAGUGGGUAAAUUCUGGUUAUUUACACAGCAGAAGUUGGGCUCAUCCCUCUAACAGCCAAGCCAUGCCCUCUGCUUUCCAUCUCCUGCCAGGGGCUUGGAAAUCUGAGGCUUGGGGAUGUGGUUGGGUCUUUCUGCAGUCCCACGACAAGAACAGUCAGGAGGAAAGGAUGGGAAUUUGGAAACAGGGCACCCCACUGCUCUUCUGGAUGGGGCUGAUGGAAACAGCUUCAUGCCUUGGGGCUGAGGGUCAGCCCUCAAAAUCCAUCCUAAAGCAGGAAAUGCGCACAAAAAGCUAAAUAGGUCAUCAUUCCCAUGGGUUUGGGAAUCAGAUCUUUGGCUGAGCCAUUUCUGAUAAUUUCAGCCUGAAAACCAAGGCUGAAGCACAUCCAGGGCACAUCCAGCAGUGGAUUUUCUCCUGUAUGGAAAGAGAGCUCAAAAUAGUGGUGUAAGUGAUGGAGUUUGCAGGCAGGGAUGCCUCAUAAGUUAAGUGGGGAAAGGUGUUUAUAGAACCAAAUAAAACUGCUAAAGAGACAUUGUAAUGGUUUUAAAAAAUCAUUGUUUUCCAUUAAAAAACUUGUAGAUGGCUGCAUUUCUUUUUUUUUUUCAUCACCUCGGGCCACAACACACCUGUUUUAUUGCCUGCAGCUACCAGAGCUGCAUUUGGCCACUUCUUAGGGGGUUUUAUUACUACCUUAUUUUUAUUUGCUUGAAAAUAUCCCCAUCCAGGAGCUCUGAGCACAAUGGAUUGAUCAGCUCCACUUUGCAGAGGAAUCAUUGUCUAAAUCUCCACUCACCUUUUGUGUCCCAAAGCUGCUGGGUUAACCCAGGAUGGAACAAAGUGUCAAAUUAAAAAAAGUGCCAAAAUAAAACAGUGUCUGCUGUCCUGCAGCUCAGAGGAGAAGCCUGGCCUGGCCAGCAGCCAGGGAAAAAAAAAUCUGGGAGUCCUGGAAAGUAAAAGGGAUGAGAAGAAAGUCCUUUUCCUGCUGCAGACAUCUGCCCUUAGCUCCCAGAACUUGACAUGAAUGGAGCCUGUGCUCACCUCAGCCUCGAGGGUGUUGAUUUAUGGAGGGGAAACUCUUCUGUUUAAUGCAUUGCCCAGAGUCCAGCCUGAAACAAUGGGAUAGCUGCAAUUCCGGAAUAUCCGGACCACACAGAGCACAUCAGAGGAGGUUUAGCAAUUCCUGGUGUGCAAGUGUUUGUGAUCAGAUAACACAAGGUGCUUAGAAAGAUGUUCAGGAGCUGAAACACUCAUAAAUCUCCUAAGGUUCUGAAAUCCUGCACGUCGAAACCACAGCUCUGUAACAUCAUUUAUUCCAAGAAGGAGAGAUAAACCCUUCUGUCAUUCAAGUGAUUAAAGCAGGAUUAAAUCACACA
Long non-coding RNA from Passer domesticus (house sparrow), 2248 nucleotides. RefSeq lists it as uncharacterized. The transcript has 2 exons. NCBI's taxonomy places the organism in Eukaryota, Metazoa, Chordata, Aves, Passeriformes, Passeridae. The record is from RefSeq and is a predicted model, not a curated record.